Molecule: ribosomal RNA, 2431 nt
Filed under: hot springs metagenome
Description: bacterial LSU rRNA
Rfam family: Bacterial large subunit ribosomal RNA
Source: RNAcentral
CUCGGGCCUGGGCGACCAGGUCCGGGUGACGGCGUGCCUUUUGAAGAAUGAGCCGGCGAGUUAGCCGUCUGCGGCGAGGUUAACCCUUCGGGGGAAGCCGUAGCGAAAGCGAGUCCGAACAGGGCGUCCAGUCGCAGGCGCUAGACCCGAAGCCGGGUGAUCUACCCAUGGGCAGGCUGAAGCGAGGGUAAGACCUCGUGGAGGGCCGAACCCACCAGGGUUGAAAACCUGGGGGAUGACCUGUGGGUAGGGGUGAAAGGCCAAUCAAACCCGGUGAUAGCUGGUUCUCCCCGAAAUGCCUUUAGGGGCAGCCUCGGGCGUUCUCCGACGGAGGUAGAGCACUGCUUGGGCUAGGGGGCCUACAAGCUUACCGAACUCAGGCAAACUCCGAAUGCCGUCGGACGAGAGCCCGGGAGUGAGGCUGCGGGGGCUAAGCUCCGUAGCCGAGAGGGAAACAACCCAGACCGCCAGCUAAGGUCCCCAAGUCCGUGCUAAGUGGGAAAGGAUGUGGGAUCGCGGAGACAACCAGGAGGUUGGCUUAGAAGCAGCCAUCCUUCAAAGAGUGCGUAACAGCUCACUGGUCAAGUGGUCCUGCGCCGACGAUGUAGCGGGGCUCAAGCACGGCACCGAAGCUGCGGGAUCCCCCGAACGGCUCGGCGUACGAGGGAGGCCUCGUGCGUCCAGGCCGGGGGAUCGGUAGGGGAGCGUUCCGACGCGGGUGAAGCGGCGGGGGAACCCAGCCGUGGACGCGUCGGAAGUGAGAAUGCCGGCAUGAGUAGCGAGAGACGGGGGAGGAGCCCGUCCGCCGAAAGCCCAAGGGUUCCUGGGGAAGGUUCAUCCGCCCAGGGUUAGUCGGGACCUAAGCCGAGGCCGAGAGGCGUAGGCGAUGGACAACCGGUUGAUAUUCCGGUACCACCUCACCCGCGACCAGGCCGGAUCUGGGGUACUAAGGGAACCCCUCCUUCGGGAGGGGCUACCGACCGACCCGGUGACGGCCAGCGAUGGGGGGACGCAGAAGGGUAGCUCGACCCAGGCGGUGGUCGUCCUGGGGCAAGCGUGUAGGGGGAGGCCCUAGGCAAAUCCGGGGCCUCGUCAACCCCGAGGCGCGAUGCCGAGCCGUUCAGGCGAAGCGAGUGAGCCCAUGCUGCCGAGAAAAGCCUCUAGCGAGUGGGUGAGGUGCCCGUACCCCAAACCGACACAGGUGGGCUGGUAGAGCAUACCGAGGCGAUCGAGUGAACCCUGGUCAAGGAACUCGGCAAAUCGCCCCCGUAACUUCGGGAGAAGGGGGACCCCGGUAGGGUGAAGGCCCUCGCGGCCGGAGCCCGAGGGGGUGGCACAGACCAGGCCCAAGCGACUGUUUACUAAAAACACAGGUCCGUGCGAAGUCGUAAGACGAUGUAUACGGACUGACGCCUGCCCGGUGCCGGAACGUUAAGGGGAUGGGUUAGCCCCUCGGGGCGAAGCUCUGAACCUAAGCGCCGGUAAACGGCGGCGGUAACUAUAACCGUCCUAAGGUANNNNNNNNNNGGGGUCAGCGCGGCCUUCGGGCCGUGCGAAGCUCCGAACCUAAGCGCCGGUAAACGGCGGCGGUAACUAUAACCGUCCUAAGGUAGACGGCCGAGGAUGCGCCCCUCGGCGCUGCCCCUCGCGUCGGCGACGGCGCGAGUGCAGCUGGCUAUAUGCUGGGACACCCGAGGAUCCGGCGGUACUCGCCAUGUCGGUGCCGAACGUUACGGUUGCCGGCAUGCGCAGUGACAACCCGACCGGUGCGGGCGAUCAGCAGGAAAGACCGGGGAUCGAGCAGUGGAUCGUCGGGUUCGUGGACGGCGAGGGUUGCUUCAGCGUCCCGAUCAUCCGCAACCCGGGCUGCAGGCUCGGGUGGCAGGUGCAGCCCCGCUUCGCGGUCGUGCAGGGCCAGCGGAGCGUGGAGGCCCUGUGGAUGAUCCGGGGGUACUUCGGCUGUGGCAGCGUCUGCCGGAACCGGAGGUACGACGACCACCGAGAGGACCUGUUCGCCUACAGGGUCUCUCGGUUCCCAGACCUCCGGGACCGGAUCGUGCCGUUCUUCGAACGGUAUCCACUGGUUACGGCGAAGGCCGAUGAGUUCACGAGGUUCGCGGCGGUCAUCCGGAUGAUGGAGGCCAAGCUCCACCUCUCGGUGGAGGGCCUCGCUCGGAUCGCGGAGAUCGCCCAGACCAUGAACCAUCGGAAGCCGUCUCGGUUCCUGGGAUCCUCAGAGGCCAUACGCCAGCCAGCUCCCCGCCGACGGGGGAGCUGAAGAUAUGGUCCCGCCCCUAUGGCGACAUAGGGAUCAUCGGAGCGAAAUUCCUUGUCGGGUAAGUUCCGACCUGCACGAAUGGCGUAACGACUUGGGCACUGUCUCGACCAGGGACUCGGCGAAAUUGCACUACGAGUGAAGAUGCUCGUUACC